CAGAGAAUAGUUUAAUAAAAAUAUUAACUUUGGAAGUUAGUGAUAAAGAUUCUUCUUUUUCUCUGA
Molecule: transfer RNA, 66 nt
Filed under: Rhabdoblatta sp. RHA
Lineage: Eukaryota; Metazoa; Arthropoda; Insecta; Blattodea; Blaberidae
Description: tRNA-Pro
Rfam family: tRNA
About the family: Transfer RNA (tRNA) molecules are approximately 80 nucleotides in length.
Source: RNAcentral